Long non-coding RNA from Amphiprion ocellaris (clown anemonefish), 515 nucleotides. The record is from Ensembl. Lineage: Eukaryota; Metazoa; Chordata; Actinopteri; Pomacentridae.
GUCCUGAAAUAACUGUGAGUGGUUACUGGAUGAAGUUGCAAGCCUGGGCCUACAGAAAGAAAACCACCUCAACCGCUAUAAACUAGUAAUAAGCUGCAAUAACACUUAGGGCGGUUGAAAGCUAAUCUCCGAGGUGAAGUGUGGCCUCCAUCAUCAUGUCGCUGAUCCUACUUUUACUCUUCCGCAUCGCGUUUUCUUCGUGUUCUGCUAGAGACGGACUGCGUUAGUUUUUCUCACCAAUACCAGCCUCUUUACAUACUAUUAGAACAGCUUUUUCCCAGCUGACCUCAUCUGCAGAGCUGGAGACCCCCAGGGACACUUCCUCUCUCCCCCAAACCGUAGGCACUGAUUCAAUGCAUUACAUGAACACAGCUUUUCAAAUCGUAUUAAUGUCUCUCUUUGCAUACCAUAGGUAGCUUACACCAACGCCAAUGUAAUUUUGCACAUUCUCAAGGAAAUUAUUUGUACAUUCCUGCACACUGUAAAUAUUUCUGUUACUUUUUGUUACUUAGAAU